This 468-nucleotide ribosomal RNA is filed under the name uncultured bacterium. RNAcentral's name for it is "partial 16S ribosomal RNA". It matches the Rfam family "Bacterial small subunit ribosomal RNA", at positions 28 to 507 of the family's 1533-position model. The record is from RNAcentral.
GACGAACGCUGGCGGCGUGCUUAACACAUGCAAGUCGAACGGAAAGGCCCUGCUUUUGUGGGGGGCUCGAGUGGCGAAAGGGGGAGUAACACGGGAGUAAACUGCCCUUGACUUUGGGAUAACUUCAGGAAACUGGGGCUAAUAACGGAUAGGAGCUCCUGCGGCAUGGUGGGGGGUGGAAAGUUUCGGCGGUUGGGGAUGGACUCGCGGCUUAUCAGCUUGUGGGUGGGGUAGUGGCUUACCAAGGCUUUGACGGGUAGCCGGCCUGAGAGGGUGACCGGCCACAUUGGGACUGAGAUACGGCCCAGACUCCUACGGGAGGCAGCAGUGGGGAAUAUUGCACAAUGGGCGGAAGCCUGAUGCAGCAACGCCGCGUGCGGGAUGACGGCCUUCGGGUUGUAAACCGCUUUCGCCUGUGACGAAGCGUGAGUGACGGUAAUGGGUAAAGAAGCACCGGCUAACUACGUG